GAAAUGCGAUAAGUAAUGUGAAUUGCAGAAUUCCGUGAAUCAUCGAAUCUUUGAACGCACAUUGCGCCCUCUGGUAUUCCGGGGGGCAUGCCUGUCCGAGCGUCAUUGCAACCCUCAAGCACGGCUUGUGUGAUGGGCGCCGUCCUCUAGGGGACGCACCCGAAAGGCAAUGGCGGCGUCGCGGUUAUCCGAUCGGCCAAAGUGUAUGGGGCUAUGUCACGCACUCUGAGGCCCGGACCGGCGCCAGUCCGAAUUUUCAAUUUAUCAAGGUUGACCUCGGAUCAGGUAGGGAUACCCGCUGAACUUAA
This 308-nucleotide unclassified non-coding RNA is filed under the name uncultured Gymnoascus. Its description in RNAcentral is "sequence contains ITS1". The stretch from base 1 to 105 matches the Rfam family "5.8S ribosomal RNA", at positions 50 to 154 of the family's 154-position model. The record is from RNAcentral. Lineage: Eukaryota; Fungi; Ascomycota; Eurotiomycetes; Onygenales; Gymnoascaceae.